RNAcentral lists this transfer RNA (86 nucleotides) under Geitlerinema splendidum. RNAcentral describes it as "tRNA-Leu". It matches the Rfam family "tRNA". Rfam says of the family: Transfer RNA (tRNA) molecules are approximately 80 nucleotides in length. Their secondary structure includes four short double-helical elements and three loops (D, anti-codon, and T loops). Further hydrogen bonds mediate the characteristic L-shaped molecular structure. tRNAs have two regions of fundamental functional importance: the anti-codon, which is responsible for specific mRNA codon recognition, and the 3' end, to which the tRNAs corresponding amino acid is attached (by aminoacyl-tRNA synthetases). tRNAs cope with the degeneracy of the genetic code in two manners: having more than one tRNA (with a specific anti-codon) for a particular amino acid; and 'wobble' base-pairing, i.e. permitting non-standard base-pairing at the 3rd anti-codon position. The record is from RNAcentral. Lineage: Bacteria; Bacillati; Cyanobacteriota; Cyanophyceae; Geitlerinematales; Geitlerinemataceae. RNAcentral also lists the same sequence under 2 other names.
GCGCGGGUGGUGGAAUUGGUAGACACGCUACCUUGAGGUGGUAGUGCCCACAAAGCGUGAAGGUUCGAGUCCUUUCCCGCGCACCA